GAUGAACGCUGGCGGCGUGCCUAACACAUGCAAGUCGAACGGGAGUCUCAUUUCGGUGAGACAAGAGUGGCGCACGGGUGAGUAACACGUAGCUAACCUACCCCCAAGAGUGGGAUAACGUUUCGAAAGGGAUGCUAAUACCACAUAAGCUCACGCUGAAUAGAGAGGUGUGAGAAAAGCGUAACGCUUGGGGAGGGGGCUGCGGCCCAUCAGGUAGUUGGUAGGGUAACGGCCUACCAAGCCAACGACGGGUAGGGGGCCUGAGAGGGUGGCCCCCCACACUGGGACUGAGACACGGCCCAGACUCCUACGGGAGGCAGCAGUGAGGAAUAUUGCUCAAUGGGCGCAAGCCUGAAGCAGCGACGCCGCGUGGGUGAUGAAGGCCUUCGGGUCGUAAAACCCUUUUCUGCGUGACGAGAGAGGACGGUAGCGCAGGAAUAAGUCUCGGCUAACUACGUG
This 459-nucleotide ribosomal RNA is filed under the name uncultured bacterium. RNAcentral's name for it is "bacterial SSU rRNA". It matches the Rfam family "Bacterial small subunit ribosomal RNA", at positions 28 to 507 of the family's 1533-position model. The record is from RNAcentral.